CAUAGCGACUAUCGUGGCAUAUCAAUAAGCGGAGGAAAAGAAACUAACAAGGAUUCCCUUAGUAACGGCGAGUGAAGCGGGAAGAGCUCAAAUUUGAAAUCUUCAAGGUUCUACCUUGACGAAUUGUAGUUUAUAGAAGUGUUUUCUGUUAGUGGAGUGGCAAAAGUUCUUUGGAAUAGGACAUCAUAGAGGGUGAGAAUCCCGUAUCUGACCAUUAUUUCCAGCUGUGUGAUACACUUUCAAAGAGUCGGAUUGUUUGGGAAUGCAGUCCAAAAUGGGUGGUAAAUUUCAUCUAAAGCUAAAUAUUGGCGAGAGACCGAUAGCGAACAAGUACCGUGAGGGAAAGAUGAAAAGAACUUUGAAAAGAGAGUUAAACAGUACGUGAAAUUGUCAAAAGGGAAGCGUUUGACACCAGUGUUGUUUAGUUGAAAAUCAAUUCAAUAAUUUUUGAUUUUAAGUAGUAUUGACUUCAUCAGCUUGCUGCUUUCUUUUCGGAAAUUAUUGAAUGCACUUUUCAGUUAACAAGUCAACAUCAAUUUCUUUUGUUGUAAAAGGGUAUGAGGAAGGUGGCUUUCUUUUCGGAGAAAGUGUUUAUAGCCUUGUACCUCUGCAAUCGGAGAGAUUGAGGUCUGCAGCGUAGAUCCUUCGGGGUUAGAUACAUUUGUGCUAAGUUAUGGCUUUUCAUAGACAACUUGUUGACUAUGUUAAGUCUUGUAGCUUACUCGCUUAUGCUAUUUUACCUACGCUUAGGAUGUUGACGAGACUGUCGAUCUC
Molecule: ribosomal RNA, 774 nt
Filed under: uncultured Neocallimastigales
Lineage: Eukaryota; Fungi; Neocallimastigomycota; Neocallimastigomycetes; Neocallimastigales
Description: partial large subunit ribosomal RNA
Rfam family: Eukaryotic large subunit ribosomal RNA
Source: RNAcentral